Molecule: long non-coding RNA, 2512 nt
Organism: Lycium barbarum (goji berry)
Lineage: Eukaryota; Viridiplantae; Streptophyta; Magnoliopsida; Solanales; Solanaceae
Exons: 5
Source: RefSeq, a predicted model, not a curated record
UAUUCUAUAUCGAUGGUCAACUUUCACUGAUAAAUGAAGACCAACAUUUCUGCUCCAUGGCGUGCUCAGAUUGUAAAAUGCCAUUUUUAAGAACUACUUCACCAAGGCCAAUCUACUGCAUCCAAUGCGAAAGAUCCACCCAACUUAUUCCCAGAAUUCAAUUUGAAGUUAUGGUCAUGGAUCACACUGGUAGCACAGUAGCCUCCAUCUCGGAUCAAUCAGCAACGAAGAUGUUGAACCUCACUGUACAAGAUAUUUAUGACAUCUGCCAUGCACAGAGAAAAGCGCUACUUCUUGACAAUGCGCAUAAACAAUUGGACCAAAGACUUUCAGAAUCCAAAUGAAAAGAUUAUUUUCCAAAAAUCAAGAUAGGCUAGCUAUCAUGAAUUAUGAGGAAAAAGAACCUACCAACCAACCAUUACCAACUGCACCAAUGACCAGCACUGCUGAAGCAAGCAAGCGCAAGGCUAUGGAGAUUGGCUUCGACCGAACGAAUCAGCAGAACCUGCCCACCAAAGACAGACCUUCCAGCACUAAACAGAAAACAGAAACCAAGACUCCUCUCAAAAGGGAGUGAAAGCUACUGGAAAUGGCAUCGGUGUUGGGAUCACAUAUCUAAACCUCCAUAUUUCUAGGCAGUUCUUCAGAAGAAACACUCUUCCUAUCUUUUCCACUGUUCUGAUAAGUAUUUCUGCUCGAUAUUUCAGAAAUGACAUCCUCAAUAUCAUGAAAUUCCACCCAUAUCUUCUUAUCUCCAUCUCUCUGAUUCUGGGUGUUGAUGAUCCAGUAAACUUACUCAAUAUUAAGCUGCUGUCAUAGGCAAUUUGACAUGGAUAGGCUAGGUUAAUAAUACAAACCUCGCAUGUUGAUGAUGAUAAGUGUAGACAUGCCAUAAAACUUGGCACUUACAUUGUAGAAUCUAGAGUGCAACUGUAUGAUAUCAUAAAAGAUUGUUGAACUACCAUAGUGAUAUUAUGCGGUUUUCAUUUUUGUUAUCCGUUUGCCUAUUUAAUUCUAACUGUUUCUGGAGCCAAGAAACAACUCAUAUUCGACAUAUCUUCUUCUUGGCAUUAAAUUGAGUAGGCAUUUGGCCAUGAAGGCCAAAUAUUUUUCACUUUAUUUGGAACUUUUAGAUUGGAGUUGAACUUGGAGUUGUAAAUGAAGUUGUUUUGCAAAGAAUAGUUGGUUAUUUAAAAAACAGAGUUUUGGGAUUUUCAAAUGGGUGUAAAUUGAAAGUGAACAUCUUAAUUAAUAACCUUAGAUCUUUGACCAUAAAUACAUAGAUGUUUCAGAGUUUGCUCCUCUGAUUCUGCAACUCUCUAAAUAAAUUCUCAUACUUCAUGUUUUUUUGGUUCAAUUUUGUGCCUUCUAAUCAAUAUGUCUUUUGUCUAUUUACUCUUUGGUACUCCAUAACUUUUAGAUGGACAAUACGUUCUUUUUAGAAGAUAUGAGUCAUUACACGUUGCAUAUAUGCUGCAACAUUUUCUGUUCGAAGAUUUGGUUGUUUAUUCUCUGCUAUGCUAAUAGAAACUUGAUAAAAAAAAGUUGGCAACUUCCUUUCUUUGGCCAACAGAAAUGCAUAACAGAUGCUUUUCAUUCGCUAAAAACAACACUCUAAUUUUAAAGCUGCAAUUUGAUGUGUUGAUGGAUCUCUAUGGUACAUCCGGAACAUAUAUCCAAAUUCACAUUUUUUUUCUUUGCUCAUUUGAUUUGUUUGGAUGUUAUAUAUUAUGGUGUGUAUUACUCCUUGCUGAAUUAUGCACGACAUGUUACUCUUCUGACUCCACAUCUUAUAGAAAAAGUCUAGAGGGGCUGCUGCUCUUCCAUGUCCAGUCAACCGUACAUUUACCAUUUUCCAAUUCCAUAUAUUUUUAUGAAAAAUACACUGAUAUAAGUUUUGAAUAGACGAAAAGAGAUGGUCUUACACUAUUGUUGGAUUAAGCUAUUGGUCUAUAUGAGAAUUGUCAUGCUAUUUCUGGAAAUUACUGCUGCUAUAGUAAACUCAUCCUAUUUCUGUAUGUAUUGCUACUAAUACAAAACAACAAUGUUACGUCUAGGAAAAAAAAUACUUUCUUUAUAUCUCUAAACCUCUUUUGUCUAAUGCUGAUCUAUCAAUUGGAGUGGCUAAUAGAACCCUUUGGUUUUUUCAUUUACUUUCAACAUCUACAUUCCUAACCAAAGCUAACAUCAUUUUGUUAUCAAGUUUUGCCAACAAGUUUUUGGAGCACAUCUUUUUGCCAAUGCACUGGCAAGCUACUAUCUUUUUGCCACAAGAUUGUCUUUUUGAAAAGCUACAUUACAACCAUAUGUGACACCCCAUGCUUUAAAAAGGUAUUUUGUCAACCAUGGCGUCGCACAACUACAACAUGCAUGAUUGGUACUAAGAAAAUACUUUUUCUGUAAAUAUGUGGUAUAAAUGAUGUAUAUAUGACAAUGCAAUCAUCAAUGUAAUAGACAAAUGUAUAUAUGCAUAAACAGUGCAAACUUAUUUUAGUUGUCUUAUACUAUCUUA